RNAcentral lists this long non-coding RNA (333 nucleotides) under Capsicum annuum. Its description in RNAcentral is "long non-coding RNA (CANN_LNC004855)". Lineage: Eukaryota; Viridiplantae; Streptophyta; Magnoliopsida; Solanales; Solanaceae. The record is from RNAcentral.
AUACCCAUUCUAUUAUCAUUAUUCCGUGAUAUAUCCAACUAUAAUCUGGUUUCAUCUACGUAAUCAAUCAGAUUCAACUAAUUAGAUCAAGUCACAAAAAUUCAAUUAUAACCAAACAUAACAAUAUUCAAAAUAAAAAAAUACCUUUAAAGUCCCUCCACUUAACCAUUUUCAAGUAACUAAGUCACCAACCAAACCACAUUCAAAACAAAAAAAAUCCCUUUAAAGUCCCUGCACUUAACCAUUUUCAAGUGACUAAGUAUCAAAAACAAACCAUAUUCAAAACAAAAAAAAUCCCUUUAAAGUCCCUGCACUUAACCAUUUUCAAGUAAC